AUCUAAGCGGGAAGCGAGCCCUGAGAUGAGUCUUCCCUGAUACUUUAAGUAUCCUAAAGGGUUGUCGGAGACUACGACGUUGAUAGGUCAGGUGUGUAAGUGCUGUGAGGCAUUGAGCUAACUGAUACUAAUUGCCCGUGAGGCUUAACCAUACAACACCCAAGGGGUUU
RNAcentral lists this ribosomal RNA (170 nucleotides) under Vibrio parahaemolyticus. Its description in RNAcentral is "partial 23S ribosomal RNA". The stretch from base 1 to 152 matches the Rfam family "Bacterial large subunit ribosomal RNA", at positions 2779 to 2925 of the family's 2925-position model. Lineage: Bacteria; Pseudomonadati; Pseudomonadota; Gammaproteobacteria; Vibrionales; Vibrionaceae. The record is from RNAcentral.